CACGGUGUCACAGAGCUGCAGUCACAAUGUCCUCAGCACUGCUGUGCCAGGGAAAUGCUGUUCAGAUUAUUGCAGGGGAACCAUGUCACACUUGCUGCAAGGGCUGGAAGCAGCAGCUCGGGGCUGUUCCCAUUAUGCUUUGAAAGAGCAGCACUCUGCAGCCCAUGUGAGCUGUACACAGAAGAUUGCAUGCCUCCUGAAAGGAACUCUGCUCUUUCAAGAGGGUGGGAAGCACUAGAAGCCUCUAAUUACAGCAGUGCAAACUGUCAGGUCUUCUAUAGUAGGUUGUAUUAAAAUGUAGUUUGUGUUGAUUCACUUUCCAGCCAAGAUAACAACCUCACAGGAAACCAGGUUUUUAUAUCCACUAAUUAAAAAUUGAUAUGGCUCCAAUGCAGCCUAGAUAAGGAGGCACUCACCCCUCGUACUGCCAGGCACUCAAAACCUGCCCUGGAAAGCCAAGCAAAGGCCAGGUAUCAGUCAUUGCUAAUUCCCUGCUGAUUCUCCUCUAGGUAAUUGUAAAGAAGAUCCAAAGGAUAUUUGAUUUCACUGUCCCAUAAGAGCUUUAUAAUCAGGUAUGUGCUUCUCUAAUAAUUUACUGGUUUAAUUAUAUUAUGUUGUCCAGGCAAAAAAACCUAAUAAAAGCUCAUAUAGGCAUAUUUUCCUUUAGCA
RNAcentral lists this long non-coding RNA (669 nucleotides) under Cyanistes caeruleus (blue tit). RNAcentral's name for it is "lncRNA (ENSCCEG00000020527.1)". The record is from RNAcentral. Lineage: Eukaryota; Metazoa; Chordata; Aves; Passeriformes; Paridae.